Molecule: long non-coding RNA, 3309 nt
Filed under: Oryzias javanicus (javanese ricefish)
Lineage: Eukaryota; Metazoa; Chordata; Actinopteri; Beloniformes; Adrianichthyidae
Description: lncRNA (ENSOJAG00000009407.1)
Source: RNAcentral
AAGAGGUGCAUCUAUUUAGAAAAAAAUGUUUCCAUUACAGUUUUGCGAAAAAAGUCUGUUUUGAUACUCCCCAAAUACCACCUCCUCUAAGCGUAAAAACCUUUUUUUUUUCAAAAAAUUAGAGUUUUUUCCAAAAUUGUGGUGUUUCCAUUAGGAGAAUUUAUCAUCGAAAUUCCAAUUUGUGAAAUGUCAAAAUUAAUGGAAACGCACCUAUAUGACGUAUAUGCAUUAAUUGUCGCAAAAAGUGACGUUUAAAAAUGUUAAAAACCCAUAUCACUGGUUAUUCAUGUCCACACUCAGAUGCAAAACCGGAGUUUUCCAAAAUCUUCACUUUGGCCGUCGUUUUCAAAAUGCACCAUUUUGAGUGACUUAAAACGCUGUUUUGUGUGGAUGAUAGACCAAAACGUAUAAAAAUUUGUUCGUUUUAGCAGAAACACGUCUACGUGUGGACAUGGCCUUUGAAUGCCCAAAGUCUGAAGAUGGAGAACAGCAGCACUUCCCAUGAAAGUCCAAGCAUUACUGAGCUCAAUAGCCUGAAGGAGGAAAAACCAAGCCUGGCAUCUGAAUGUGAAAAGCUGCGAUACCAACAGCAACAAGCUGACGAGACAAGAUCCCAAACAAGAAGUGUUGAUUUUUCUGCACCGACGCAAGCAGAAAAUCCAAGAGGAUCAGCUGAACCUAAGAUACGCUUCAUUUCUGAAGACAGGAGGAGUUUGAUUGAACUGCGUCAAAAUGACUGGCGUCUUCUCGUCCUCUGCGCGCCAGUACUUGAACCGGUGCAAGUAGAUUAUGAAUCUAACAACAUUGAUGAAAUCCUGAAAAAGCACCUGGACAGAUCAGAUCACAAAGUUUCCAAGUGAUACUUCUCUUCCUUGAAAAUGAAGACAAGUUUUUACAAAUGAAAAAGGCGGAGCACUGAUCAUGACGGUCCUGCAUGAACCUGACCUGAACUUUCUUAAUAAUCUUAAAAAUAAUGUCUGUGUGGAAAUUAAGUUGUGUUUAUUCAAAAUUAUGUGUCAUCAUUACCUGUUUUUUUUAUUUUUAUUUUUUUUUUUUUUUUAUGAAAAUUGCAUUUCAUAGCUAAAAAGCUUCCUCUCCUUUUUAUUAACUUCAGCAUCUGAGUGUAUUUCCUCUUCCUAACUGGGAUUUGUAGAAUCUUUAAUAGUGUGUUUUAAGUCUCACUCCAACCACAUUUGUAUAUUCAAAAUUUGUUCCCAGUGGUCGUUUAAUUAUUAUUAUUCAGUUUUUAGCCAAAAUCAUAAAGCCUGUGUUGUUUUUUAAGGAAUAUUUUCUUCAGAGCAGCAGGAGCUCAUUAGAAAUUCACCUUUGAGUUGUGGGCGGGACUGUUGGCAAGGAAGUAACCUUACACUGAUAUCCCAUCAUUCCUUUGUUGACAUUCUCUCCAGCUAGCUUACACCCCCAAGCUAACAUUAGCGUAGCAACAAAAACAAAAAUGGCUAGCAAUAUCAGAUCUAUCCAGCUUUUCAAUUUUGACCCAAAUCCCAGCUUGGAUGAUAAAUAUUAAGACGUUAAUGGAUAUAUUUGUUUGCAAGAGGGUGGAUCUGAGAUUUCUCAAACGGCGAGUUUUUAUCUGCCCGUGACCACGUUUCACAAUUUAAAUUAAGAAGUACUCAGAAACACAGUUUUAAUUUUAAUUUAUUUUAUCUAUAUCCUUCAUUGUGAGAAAAAUGCUACAAAUACACGAUUUUCAUUGGACUGGGUCAUUAAAGAUAUUGAUAUCGUUUGUUUCAGGGUGAAAUUGUGAUGUGUUUUAUCAUAUUUAGUGGGGAUGGAGUAGAACUGUUUAGUUUUGGCCUAAAUAAAUCAAAUUAGAUUCCUGGUUGAACAGUUUCAGUUGCAAUAAUCUCCAGAUCCAGGUUCAUCUGAACACUGUAAAUCACAGAGGAUGUGGAAGCAUUGCACUUUGUUAUGAAGAUGUGAGUACAGAAACUGGGACAGGAUGUUUGAUUUUUUUUAAAGACAAAUUCUAACAGUUUUAUUUGACUUUUAUAUUCUGUGUGUUUUAUUGAUUUUAUUUUGUGCAAAUUGUUAAAUGUUGAGAUAGCUUAAGUAAUCUUAAACCAAAUUGUUUGAUCAUAUGAAUAAUUAUGAUAAUAUUGACCCCAUGCUACUCAUGGCUGUAUUCCUCGUGUUUGAUGUUAAUACUAUUAUGUAUUUCUGUCUUUUUUCACUUAUUUCAAAACAUGUUUACUUUCUUAAAAAUGGAAACUGAACACUUCUUCAUUCAUGAGGUAUCCCCCUACCUUCCAUGUUUUUGUUAAAAAGAGACUUUACUACCCCCUCCUAAACUCAUCCACACUUCUUCAGGUAUGCUGUCAGGUAUGUAUGUCCACCUUCUCCUCUAUGCUCUAUAGCUCUAUAACAUUUACUUCAAUCCUCCUCUCCCCAAGUUCUUCUUCUAUUUUGGUUCUGUACUGAUUUUUUUGUUUUUUAUAACUUGUCCUGUCCAACUGCUAAGCAAACAGAUACGAGCUGAGAGCUGAAGAAGAAAAGAAGAAGAGAGAGGUUGGGGGGGCUGUAAAAGAGGGGAAUUUAGAGAAAAGAGAAAAUGGUAACAGAGGGAGGUAACAAUCAUUCUGUCACACAUACUAUUAGUGCGAAGGUGAGCUGACACCUGUGCUCAGGUGUGUGCGCUUGUGUUUUGUUGAGAUGACUGAUGAUGGAAUGUACAGAAGGGGACAGUGCCCGACCAUCCCCACACCAAGACCCUAUGCUGGGGAGGCACCAGCAGCCCGUAGCCCCAUACACCCACCAUGAGGCUGCAAAAAGAAUCUGCUCGCCGGGCAAUCCCGCCAAACACCCAGACCAGGGCACGCGGGACCGCCGCAUGAGGCCCCCCACGCCCGAGAGAGGGAAGACAAAAUAGCACAGAGAGUACAGGCCCCAGCCCAGCCAGAAGAGCAUCCCCCCGCCCUAUGAGUCAGGGCCCCCCAAGGGAGAUCUGCUCCGAUGCACCAGACAACCGCCCACCCCCGCCGUGGGGGGUUCCAGGAGAGAAUGAGGCGGGGGCCGCCCAUCCCCGCCCAGGAGCGACACCCAAGAGAAAUGGGGGCUCUGAAGGAGUGUAGUAAACAAGGUCCGAUCAGGCUGAUCCAUUGAUGGAGUUGUUGGAGAGCUGGUAGACUGACCCCCGAUGGUGUGUCUGAAUCUCCACUAUGUUCAAAACUUGUUGAAUUUAACUUCAUUAAAUGCAAAUUGUAAUUGUUUAUUGCUUUCCAAUUGUUUUAAAAUUGUAGUUACUUGCCUAAUACAUUUAAAAAAUUGCAACCUUCAACACAUAAAGAGCCA